Molecule: transfer RNA, 70 nt
Filed under: Shinella sumterensis
Lineage: Bacteria; Pseudomonadati; Pseudomonadota; Alphaproteobacteria; Hyphomicrobiales; Rhizobiaceae
Description: Shinella sp. MEC087 tRNA-OTHER
Rfam family: tRNA (bases 4-63)
About the family: Transfer RNA (tRNA) molecules are approximately 80 nucleotides in length.
Source: RNAcentral
CGCGACGUAGCUCAACUGGUAGAGCCACUGCAUCGCAGUAGGUUGGGGUUCGAGUCCCCCGUCUUUCCCA